This 332-nucleotide ribosomal RNA is filed under the name uncultured bacterium. RNAcentral describes it as "bacterial SSU rRNA". It matches the Rfam family "Bacterial small subunit ribosomal RNA", at positions 568 to 898 of the family's 1533-position model. The record is from RNAcentral.
CACGUAGGCGGCUUGUUAAGUCUGGGGUGAAAUCUCCCGGCUCAACCGGGAGGGGUCCUCGGAUACUGGCAGGCUGGAGGGGAGCAGAGGAGAGCGGAAUUCCCGGUGUAGUGGUGAAAUGCGUAGAUAUCGGGAGGAACACCAGUGGCGAAGGCGGCUCUCUGGGCUCUACCUGACGCUGAGGUGCGAAAGCGUGGGGAGCGAACCGGAUUAGAUACCCGGGUAGUCCACGCUGUAAACGAUGGACACUAGGUGUGGGGGGUAUCGACCCCCUCCGUGCCGAAGCUAACGCUAUAAGUGUCCCGCCUGGGGAGUACGGCCGCAAGGCUAAA